Molecule: long non-coding RNA, 311 nt
Organism: Salvia splendens (bonfire salvia)
Lineage: Eukaryota; Viridiplantae; Streptophyta; Magnoliopsida; Lamiales; Lamiaceae
Exons: 3
Source: RefSeq, a predicted model, not a curated record
AAAACCGAGAGAAGGGAGGAUAGAAGCCACAACCUCAUUACAGCUACACGUCCCAUAUUGUUGAAGGUGGUAUCUCGCAAGUGAAUCAUGAUCGCAAGGGAAAGAAAAUAAUUUCGGAUUAAGCACUCGAGGUUGAGCGGCGACGAGCAAUUGGUGGUGUUGGGCAAUUUAAACUUUGAAGCAUGGUUUGGUUAGUUGUGAACUACGAGUGUCGUUGUGUCUCCACACAUGACGUCACUCUUUCUCUUGAACGCUUCCGCUGAGACAUUGUUUUUACUCAUAAAUCUUUUAGCUUUGAACCUAAUUAUUUG